This 484-nucleotide ribosomal RNA is filed under the name uncultured bacterium. Its description in RNAcentral is "partial 16S ribosomal RNA". It matches the Rfam family "Bacterial small subunit ribosomal RNA", at positions 28 to 507 of the family's 1533-position model. The record is from RNAcentral.
AUUGAACGCUGGCGGCAUGCUUUACACAUGCAAGUCGAACGGCAGCGCGGGCUUCGGCCUGGCGGCGAGUUGCGAACGGGUGAGUAAUGCAUCGGAACGUGCCCAGUAGUGGGGGAUAGCACGGCGACAGCCGGAUUAAUACCGCAUACGACCUGAGGGUGAAAGCGGGGGACCGAAAGGCCUCGCGCUAUUGGCGCGGCCGAUGUCGGAUUAGCUAGUUGGUGGGGUAAAGGCUUACCAAGGCGACGAUCCGUAGCUGGUCUGAGAGGACGACCAGCCACACUGGGACUGAGACACGGCCCAGACUCCUACGGGAGGCAGCAGUGGGGAAUUUUGGACAAUGGGGGCAACCCUGAUCCAGCCAUGCCGCGUGCGGGAAGAAGGCCUUCGGGUUGUAAACCGCUUUUGUUCGGGAAGAAAUCCUGUGGGCUAAUACCCCGGGGGGAUGACGGUACCGGAAGAAUAAGCACCGGCUAACUACGUG